CAAACGACUCUCGGCAACGGAUAUCUCGGCUCUCGCAUCGAUGAAGAACGUAGCAAAAUGCGAUACCUGGUGUGAAUUGCAGAAUCCCGCGAACCAUCGAGUUUUUGAACGCAAGUUGCGCCCGAGGCCUUCUGGCUGAGGGCACGCCUGCCUGGGCGUCACGC
Molecule: ribosomal RNA, 164 nt
Filed under: Ichnanthus hirtus
Lineage: Eukaryota; Viridiplantae; Streptophyta; Magnoliopsida; Poales; Poaceae
Also listed under: 4 other names
Description: 5.8S ribosomal RNA
Rfam family: 5.8S ribosomal RNA
About the family: 5.8S ribosomal RNA (5.8S rRNA) is a component of the large subunit of the eukaryotic ribosome. It is transcribed by RNA polymerase I as part of the 45S precursor that also contains 18S and 28S rRNA.
Source: RNAcentral